AAGAUUAAACUCAAAGGANUGACGGGGACCCGCACAAGCCGUGGAUGAUGUGGAUUAAUUCGAUGCAACGCGAAAAACCNUUACCUACCCUUGACAUGGCUGGAAUCCCGGAGAGAUUUGGGAGUGCUCGAAAGAGAACCAGUACACAGGUGCUGCAUGGCUGUCGUCAGCUCGUGUCGUGAGAUGUUGGGUUAAGUCCCGCAACGAGCGCAACCCUUGUCAUUAGUUGCUACGAAAGGGCACUCUAAUGAGACUGCCGGUGACAAACCGGAGGAAGGUGGGGAUGACGUCAAGUCCUCAUGGCCCUUAUGGGUAGGGCUUCACACGUCAUACAAUGGUACAUACAGAGCGCCGCCAACCCGCGAGGGGGAGCUAAUCGCAGAAAGUGUAUCGUAGUCCGGAUUGUAGUCUGCAACUCGACUGCAUGAAGUUGGAAUCGCUAGUAAUCGCGGAUCAGCAUGUCGCGGUGAAUACGUUCCCGGGUCUUGUACACACCGCCCGUCACACCAUGGGAGCGGGUUU
RNAcentral lists this ribosomal RNA (522 nucleotides) under uncultured bacterium. RNAcentral's name for it is "bacterial SSU rRNA". It matches the Rfam family "Bacterial small subunit ribosomal RNA", at positions 891 to 1417 of the family's 1533-position model. The record is from RNAcentral.